UGUUCUCAUCCUCUGAUUUCGUAUUUCCUAUCUAAGACAACCUAGAAUUACAUUUAAGCUGAUUUGGGGGAUUUUUUUUUUUUUACCUUUAAAAUGAUGGCUACAAUAUCAGGGGUGAAAUCUGGCUUCCAAGGAUACAAGUGCAUUUACAGGUCAGGCUAUAUAACAACUCUUCUUGUUCUGAUACUUACUGUGACACCACUUGGAUCGUUCAUGUAAGAUACCCAGGAGCCUGAGGACAGAAGAGAACCAAGCAGUGAAUGAAUAUAGAAUUAACGAGCUUUGAAGAAAUUCUGAAACACCUAAAGGAGCUCUGACAGAUUUUUUAAUUUGAGCAAAUACACCAUGGCCAUAAUAAGCAGUCUUCGUGUUUUUAGCCCUGCUGCCAUCAAAAAUAUUGACUAAA
Strigops habroptila (Kakapo) is the source of this 406-nucleotide long non-coding RNA. RefSeq lists it as uncharacterized. The record is from RefSeq and is a predicted model, not a curated record. NCBI's taxonomy places the organism in Eukaryota, Metazoa, Chordata, Aves, Psittaciformes, Psittacidae. The transcript has 3 exons.